UUAUAAUUUCGCGCACUUAUCUUCUGCGAUGGAAUAAAAUACUGAUCCUGUCAUAAUGUGGUGGUAGUUGAGACCGGUUGUGGCGGCAUGUGAAGAGGUCGACGACCAUGAGGAAAAUAUUGGGAUGUUAAUUAAUUUAUUUCAGUUAAUACCAGUUUAUUUUAAUCAGGAAAUAUCGCGUUCACACGCUAUUCGAAAUUCUGACAUACCGUGCAAUUGUUUUAGCAAGAUAGAAGAUACCUAAUGAGUGCCGUAUACAGCCGAACCAUGUAAUUUGGAAGAAAGGCCGCCCAACUGUUGCUUGCGUCACUUGUUCUUCACAGCAUUACAUCUGGAAACCAGCUGGAGCACCAUUCUAGAGACCUGCAGCAUAGAAGACAGUACAGCCAGGUCUUGAAACAACAAACCCAGUUUUUACGACUUCCAUGUUCAUGCGGGGGCAGUGACUGUGGGUGCUGUGCCACUCUGAGUGUCCCACCUCUGGAUUUCAAUCA
Molecule: long non-coding RNA, 494 nt
Organism: Cryptotermes secundus
Lineage: Eukaryota; Metazoa; Arthropoda; Insecta; Blattodea; Kalotermitidae
Exons: 3
Source: RefSeq, a predicted model, not a curated record